RNAcentral lists this ribosomal RNA (1338 nucleotides) under Streptomyces sp. BS12. Its description in RNAcentral is "bacterial SSU rRNA". It matches the Rfam family "Bacterial small subunit ribosomal RNA", at positions 137 to 1481 of the family's 1533-position model. The record is from RNAcentral. Lineage: Bacteria; Bacillati; Actinomycetota; Actinomycetes; Kitasatosporales; Streptomycetaceae.
UCUGGGACAAGCCCUGGAAACGGGGUCUAAUACCGGAUAUGACUGUCCAUCGCAUGGUGGAUGGUGUAAAGCUCCGGCGGUGCAGGAUGAGCCCGCGGCCUAUCAGCUUGUUGGUGAGGUAGUGGCUCACCAAGGCGACGACGGGUAGCCGGCCUGAGAGGGCGACCGGCCACACUGGGACUGAGACACGGCCCAGACUCCUACGGGAGGCAGCAGUGGGGAAUAUUGCACAAUGGGCGAAAGCCUGAUGCAGCGACGCCGCGUGAGGGAUGACGGCCUUCGGGUUGUAAACCUCUUUCAGCAGGGAAGAAGCGAAAGUGACGGUACCUGCAGAAGAAGCGCCGGCUAACUACGUGCCAGCAGCCGCGGUAAUACGUAGGGCGCAAGCGUUGUCCGGAAUUAUUGGGCGUAAAGAGCUCGUAGGCGGCUUGUCACGUCGGUUGUGAAAGCCCGGGGCUUAACCCCGGGUCUGCAGUCGAUACGGGCAGGCUAGAGUUCGGUAGGGGAGAUCGGAAUUCCUGGUGUAGCGGUGAAAUGCGCAGAUAUCAGGAGGAACACCGGUGGCGAAGGCGGAUCUCUGGGCCGAUACUGACGCUGAGGAGCGAAAGCGUGGGGAGCGAACAGGAUUAGAUACCCUGGUAGUCCACGCCGUAAACGGUGGGCACUAGGUGUGGGCAACAUUCCACGUUGUCCGUGCCGCAGCUAACGCAUUAAGUGCCCCGCCUGGGGAGUACGGCCGCAAGGCUAAAACUCAAAGGAAUUGACGGGGGGCCGCACAAGCGGCGGAGCAUGUGGCUUAAUUCGACGCAACGCGAAGAACCUUACCAGGGCUUGACAUACACCGGAAACGUCUGGAGACAGGCGCCCCCUUGUGGUCGGUGUACAGGUGGUGCAUGGCUGUCGUCAGCUCGGUCGUGAGAUGUUGGGUUAAGUCCCGCAACGAGCGCAACCCUUGUCCCGUGUUGCCAGCAGGCCCUUGUGGUGCUGGGGACUCACGGGAGACCGCCGGGGUCAACUCGGAGGAAGGUGGGGACGACGUCAAGUCAUCAUGCCCCUUAUGUCUUGGGCUGCACACGUGCUACAAUGGCCGGUACAAUGAGCUGCGAUACCGCGAGGCGGAGCGAAUCUCAAAAAGCCGGUCUCAGUUCGGAUUGGGGUCUGCAACUCGACCCCAUGAAGUCGGAGUCGCAGUAAUCGCAGAUCAGCAUUGCUGCGGUGAAUACGUUCCCGGGCCUUGUACACACCGCCCGUCACGUCACGAAAGUCGGUAACACCCGAAGCCGGUGGCCCAACCCCUUGUGGGAGGGAGCUGUCGAAGGUGGGACUGGCGAUUGGGCA